This 77-nucleotide transfer RNA is filed under the name Clostridium tagluense. Its description in RNAcentral is "tRNA-Asn". It matches the Rfam family "tRNA". Rfam says of the family: Transfer RNA (tRNA) molecules are approximately 80 nucleotides in length. Their secondary structure includes four short double-helical elements and three loops (D, anti-codon, and T loops). Further hydrogen bonds mediate the characteristic L-shaped molecular structure. tRNAs have two regions of fundamental functional importance: the anti-codon, which is responsible for specific mRNA codon recognition, and the 3' end, to which the tRNAs corresponding amino acid is attached (by aminoacyl-tRNA synthetases). tRNAs cope with the degeneracy of the genetic code in two manners: having more than one tRNA (with a specific anti-codon) for a particular amino acid; and 'wobble' base-pairing, i.e. permitting non-standard base-pairing at the 3rd anti-codon position. The record is from RNAcentral. Lineage: Bacteria; Bacillati; Bacillota; Clostridia; Eubacteriales; Clostridiaceae.
UGAUGAUUAGCUCAGUUGGUAGAGCAUUUGGCUGUUAACCGAAAGGUUCGUCAGUUCAAGUCUGACAUCAUCAUCCA